This 641-nucleotide ribosomal RNA is filed under the name uncultured bacterium. Its description in RNAcentral is "bacterial SSU rRNA". It matches the Rfam family "Bacterial small subunit ribosomal RNA", at positions 8 to 649 of the family's 1533-position model. The record is from RNAcentral.
AGAGUUUGAUUCUGGCUCAGGAUGAACGCUGGCGGCGUGCUUAACACAUGCAAGUCGAACGGAGAUAAACGGUGAAGAGAUUUCGGUCGAUUCCUGUUUAUCUUAGUGGCGGACGGGUGAGUAACGCGUGGGUAACCUGCCCUGUACAGGGGGAUAACACUUAGAAAUAGGUGCUAAAACCGCAUAAGCGCACAGUACCGCAUGGUACAGUGUGAAAAACUCCGGUGGUACAGGAUGGACCCGCGUCUGAUUAGCUGGUUGGAGGGGUAACGGCCCACCAAGGCGACGAUCAGUAGCCGGCCUGAGAGGGUGAACGGCCACAUUGGGACUGAGACACGGCCCAAACUCCUACGGGAGGCAGCAGUGGGGAAUAUUGCACAAUGGGGGAAACCCUGAUGCAGCGACGCCGCGUGAGUGAAGAAGUAUUUCGGUAUGUAAAGCUCUAUCAGCAGGGAAGAUAAUGACGGUACCUGAGUAAGAAGCCCCGGCUAACUACGUGCCAGCAGCCGCGGUAAUACGUAGGGGGCAAGCGUUAUCCGGAUUUACUGGGUGUAAAGGGAGCGUAGACGGCAUGGCAAGUCUGAAGUGAAAGCCCGGGGCUCAACCGCGGGACUGCUUUGGAAACUGUUAAGCUGGAGUGC